AAACUAACAAGGAUUCCCCUAGUAACUGCGAGUGAAGCGGGAUGAGCUCAAAUUUAAAAUCUGGCGUCUUCGGCGUCCGAGUUGUAAUUUAGAGAAGCGUUUUCCGCGCCGGACCGUGUACAAGUCUCCUGGAACGGAGCGUCAUAGAGGGUGAGAAUCCCGUCUUUGACACGGACCCCCGGUGCUCUGUGAUACGCUCUCGAAGAGUCGAGUUGUUUGGGAAUGCAGCUCAAAAUGGGUGGUGAACUCCAUCUAAAGCUAAAUAUUGGCGAGAGACCGAUAGCGAACAAGUACCGUGAGGGAAAGAUGAAAAGCACUUUGGAAAGAGAGUGAAACAGUACGUGAAAUUGUUGAAAGGGAAACGCUUGAAGUCAGUCGCGUCUGUCAGGGUUCAGCCUCACGGUGUACUCUCUGGUAGACGGGCCAGCAUCACUUUCGAUCGUCGGACAAGGGAGUUGGGAAUGUGGCACCUUCGGGUGUGUUAUAGCCCUUCUUCGUAUACGGCGACCGGGAGUGAGGACCGCCUUUGUAGGAUGCUGGCGUAAUGGCUUUAAACGAC
This 559-nucleotide ribosomal RNA is filed under the name Peniophoraceae sp. QmPlVG-1-41. RNAcentral's name for it is "eukaryotic LSU rRNA". It matches the Rfam family "Eukaryotic large subunit ribosomal RNA", at positions 62 to 648 of the family's 3401-position model. RNAcentral also lists the same sequence under 1 other name. Lineage: Eukaryota; Fungi; Basidiomycota; Agaricomycetes; Russulales; Peniophoraceae. The record is from RNAcentral.